Molecule: long non-coding RNA, 332 nt
Filed under: Homo sapiens (human)
Lineage: Eukaryota; Metazoa; Chordata; Mammalia; Primates; Hominidae
Description: HSALNT0282885
Source: RNAcentral
GUGAACACACACCGGGAGAAGCCUGAGAAUGUGGACAUCACCCGGGAACCUGAGGAAGCCCUGGAUACUGUCCCAGCCCACUACUGAGCCCUUUCCAAGAAGUCAAACUGCCUGUGUCCUCAUCGCCUUCCACCUUUAGGAAAUGCUAUCUUUGCUCUUCUCCUACUCUGCCUUGGCCUCACUGAGGCACCCCACUUCCAGUGAAGAAGUCCUCCGCAACUCCCAAACAAGCCUCGCUUGCUGGCCGCAACCAAGGAGCUAUCUAGCUCUGGAGGAAACUUUCUUUCUUAAUUCCUAUUCUCUGACGAAUAAAGACUUACUGCCUACAAGAG